AGGGGCAUGGUGUAAUGGUAACACGUGGGUCUCCAAAACCUUUGUUGUGGGUUCAAAUCCUACUGCCCCUGCCA
RNAcentral lists this transfer RNA (74 nucleotides) under Clostridiales bacterium. Its description in RNAcentral is "tRNA-Trp". It matches the Rfam family "tRNA". Rfam says of the family: Transfer RNA (tRNA) molecules are approximately 80 nucleotides in length. The record is from RNAcentral. Lineage: Bacteria; Bacillati; Bacillota; Clostridia; Eubacteriales.